UGGUAGUCCACGCCGUAAACGAUGUCGACUUGGAGGUUGUGCCCUUGAGGCGUGGCUUCCGGAGCUAACGCGUUAAGUCGACCGCCUGGGGAGUACGGCCGCAAGGUUAAAACUCAAAUGAAUUGACGGGGGCCCGCACAAGCGGUGGAGCAUGUGGUUUAAUUCGAUGCAACGCGAAGAACCUUACCUGGUCUUGACAUCCACGGAAGUUUUCAGAGAUGAGAAUGUGCCUUCGGGAACCGUGAGACAGGUGCUGCAUGGCUGUCGUCAGCUCGUGUUGUGAAAUGUUGGGUUAAGUCCCGCAACGAGCGCAACCCUUAUCCUUUGUUGCCAGCGGUCCGGCCGGGAACUCAAAGGAGACUGCCAGUGAUAAACUGGAGGAAGGUGGGGAUGACGUCAAGUCAUCAUGGCCCUUACGACCAGGGCUACACACGUGCUACAAUGGCGCAUACAAAGAGAAGCGACCUCGCGAGAGCAAGCGGACCUCAUAAAGUGCGUCGUAGUCCGGAUUGGAGUCUGCAACUCGACUCCAUGAAGUCGGAAUCGCUAGUAAUCGUGGAUCAGAAUGCCACGGUGAAUACGUUCCCGGGCCUUGUACACACCGCCCGUCACACCAUGGGAGUGGGUUGCAAAAGAAGUAGGUAGCUUAACCUUCGGGAGGGCGCUUACCACUUUGUGAUUCAUGACUGGGGUGAAGUCGUAACAAGGUAACCGUAGGGGAACCUGCGGUUGGA
Molecule: ribosomal RNA, 734 nt
Filed under: Escherichia coli
Lineage: Bacteria; Pseudomonadati; Pseudomonadota; Gammaproteobacteria; Enterobacterales; Enterobacteriaceae
Description: bacterial SSU rRNA
Rfam family: Bacterial small subunit ribosomal RNA
Source: RNAcentral